Molecule: ribosomal RNA, 563 nt
Filed under: uncultured bacterium
Lineage: Bacteria
Description: partial 16S ribosomal RNA
Rfam family: Bacterial small subunit ribosomal RNA
Source: RNAcentral
UGGGGAAUAUUGCACAAUGGGCGAAAGCCUGAUGCAGCAACGCCGCGUGAGUGAUGAAGGCCUUCGGGUUGUAAAGCUCUGUCUUUUGGGACGAUAAUGACGGUACCAAAGGAGGAAGCCACGGCUAACUACGUGCCAGCAGCCGCGGUAAUACGUAGGUGGCAAGCGUUGUCCGGAUUUACUGGGCGUAAAGGAUGCGUAGGCGGAUUUUUAAGUGAGAUGUGAAAACCCUAAGCUUAACUUGGGGACUGCAUUUCAUACUGGAAAUCUAGAGUGCGGGAGAGGAGAAUGGAAUUCCUAGUGUAGCGGUGAAAUGCGUAGAGAUUAGGAAGAACACCAGUGGCGAAGGCGAUUCUCUGGACCGUAACUGACGCUGAGGCAUGAAAAGCGUGGGUAGCAAACAGGAUUAGAUACCCUGGUAGUCCACGCCGUAAACGAUGAGUACUAGGUGUAGGAGGUAUCGACCCCUUCUGUGCCGCAGUUAACACAAUAAGUACUCCGCCUGGGAAGUACGAUCGCAAGACUGAAACUUAAAUGAAUUGACGGGGUCAUAGCUGUUUCCU